UCAGGCUGUCUUACACGUGGCUUAUUGGUCCCCUGGGCUAGCCUAUGUAAAGCCAAGGACUUAAGCAAGAGAAAGCAACGUGCUGGUGAUGAAGAAGAGACUGAAACCAAGAAAUGGGUGCCAACAGGAGGCAGUGUGGCUCUCCUUGCCUCAGAGGUCCCAAGUCACUCUGCUUCUUUUUCUCAUUGUCUCUAGUUAAUGUUGACUCUCUGCGGACCAGCUGUGUGAGCUUGACAGCAGCUGAGGCUGCUUGUUGUAUCGCCCCUUCUAUGAGGAUAGAGUUUUGGCUGGACGUGAGGCCACCUGGCUAAACGCCACCUUCCAAGCUUCCCUUCUGCUAACUGUAGUCAUUUAUUAGGCUCCGCCCACUGCGAUACAGACAGAAGUGAUAUGCACAACUUCCAGGGUAUGCUCUUAAAUGGAAAGGAGUGAGCGUCUCUCUCCUUCCUUUUCCCGCCUUACUGCCUGCACGUGGAUGAAGAUGGCGGGACCUGAAGCCGUCGUCUCUGACCUGGAGAUGGAAGCAGCCAGGAGAGGAUGUUGGAGCCAUAAGAACUUACAGCAAGACAGUAGCAAAACGAAACAACUCAAAGGCAAAUUUUAACAGCUGAAAGGGAUUUCUUCUUCUACUGGGAAUAAAGCCCAUAAAUCAGACCGUACCUUCUUCAAGCUGAAAGCCGAGUGGACUUGCAUCACCUUACAAAGCAGUUUCCUUGAAAACUUUUUGACAAAAGACUAGGAAAUCCAUGCUCUAAGGCCUCAGUUUUGAAGAUAAAUCUGGGAGAGGAAGGCUGGCGUCAGGAUGUCACCAUUCCUUGGCCAACA
This is a long non-coding RNA of Suricata suricatta (meerkat), 825 nucleotides long. RefSeq lists it as uncharacterized. NCBI's taxonomy places the organism in Eukaryota, Metazoa, Chordata, Mammalia, Carnivora, Herpestidae. The transcript has 3 exons. The record is from RefSeq and is a predicted model, not a curated record.